RNA transcript from Antechinus flavipes (yellow-footed antechinus), 1807 nucleotides. It is a transcript of the gene named testis expressed 29, with no coding region annotated. The record is from RefSeq and is a predicted model, not a curated record. The transcript has 7 exons. NCBI's taxonomy places the organism in Eukaryota, Metazoa, Chordata, Mammalia, Dasyuromorphia, Dasyuridae.
UUGCUAAUUGUGUAACCCUGGGAGAGUCAUUUAUCCUUUCUAGGCUAUGGCUUCUUCAUAUGCAAAAUGAAAGGGCUGAGCUAAAUCAGGGAUCAUUAACUAAUCGAGACCUCUUUGGUAGACUGGUAAAGUUUAUGGCCCCCUUCUCAGAUUUCUCUUUUUAAAAGCAUAAAACCAAAAAUUCUUCCAAUUUCUCAUCAGUUUUUGGUAUUAAUUUGGUGUCUUUCUCCUUUACCUCUCUAGGUUCUUAAAGUGGGAGAAGUUAUUAUCUCUUCUAUGAUGACUUGGGGUUCUACAUGAUGUCAUGGCCAAGAGAACGAGAGUUCUAUGAUCAUACAGGGAGAUAUUCUCCUUUAGGCUACAUGGUAGGGUGGAGAUAGGUUACUUGAAUUAGCACCAAAAUUAUUUAACAUAAAGCUAGAAUUUAGUUAGGAGGAACAGUCAUUGGAUUGUGAUAUGUUUGGCAGGCUCGCCUGCUGAGCUCUUCUGCAUUUCAGAUGACAUGUUGAAAUAUAGAAAAUAUGCCCCGAAGAACUUCACAUCAAUUGCUGAGUAAAUUUGCAGCUCUUCUUUAGCCCCCAGCAGUUCCAGAACUCAGUUGUGACUCCAAGCAGCAGGAAAUCUGACCAGAAGCUGGUAUGUGACAUUCCCCUUUUUGACAUAUGUGACUACAAUGUCUCAAGAGACCAGUGCAAGAAACUAGGAUGCUGCUUUUUUAAAGAAGUCUGCUAUGAAAAAGCUGUUCCAGCUUAUGUUCAAGGAUUUACUGCCUCGAUAAUCAUCAUCAUGGGACUCUUCAUUAUCUAUGUAACAUACAGUGUUGUACAGGGAAGAAAUAAAAAAACAACUCAAAAGUAUGGAUCACAUCAAAAGAAGAACACAUUGAGGCCUGAGAUUAUCCCAGUGAAUCGUGAGGUAUCUGAUGAAGAAGUUAUGCCGAUUAAUGAAGAAGGGUUGGAAUAAAGAAACAUGAUAAAAUCAAGGAGGACAUAUCCAAUAGCGAUGGUUAAGGAACAAUUUCUUGGGCAGCUCAGAUUCCGUUAUUUUAUAUGAUGAAGCUUCCAUUUCAUCUGGAAAAAGAAUACAAAUAAUAUUUUUCAAAGUGCUUUCUGUGUUGCAUUUUCUUAUUCAAUUCUAUGUAUUUAUUUGUGGCAGGAGGGAAUAAAGAAAGGGAGAGGGGGAGAGAUGGAGAAGGAGAAAGAGAGGGAGAAGAAGAGAGAGAAAUGGGGAAAGGAAAAGGGAAAGGGAGGAAAGGGAAAGGGAGAAAGAGGGAGGCAAAAAGGGAGAGAGAAACAGAGAGGGAAAGGGAGGGAGAGAAAGAGAAAUGAAAAAAUAUCAAGUGCUUAUUGUGUGUCUGGGACUGUGUGUAACAAAUGAAAAGUCUGAGAGAUAAUUUCUGGAUUAUUGAUAAUGAAUUUAUUAAUUAUGGCUAACUAAUAGUUAAUAGAUUGAGGUCAGUGGUUUUCUGAUAAACUAAAGACCCCAUUCCCCCUGAACAUUGAAUGCUUAAUAAGCCUUUGGAAAAGGGGGGUGUACCUGAGACUGAAAAUCAACUCUAAUUAGUUAACAAUAAAUGAGGGGGUAGACAUAUUAAUGAGGACAUGGUCAAAAAGUCUUCAGCUCUUGCUGACAAUAUGGCCUGAUCAUGAAUCUCAGCUAUUUCCAGUAAUCUGGACAAAACAAUCCAUCUCUAUCUGGACUGCUUUGGUUGGUUUUAAGAGGACCAUGAUAUCAGGAAGGUGAUGUCAUAACUUGCAAAUAUAUUGAAUACAAGUGAGGGAGGGCUGUGCAAAAUAAGCAGCCUCAC